Molecule: ribosomal RNA, 794 nt
Filed under: uncultured bacterium
Lineage: Bacteria
Description: bacterial SSU rRNA
Rfam family: Bacterial small subunit ribosomal RNA
Source: RNAcentral
AGAGUUUGAUCCUGGCUCAGAAUGAACGCUGGCGGCGUGCCUAACACAUGCAAGUCGGAUGUGCCGCAAGGUGCAUGGCAGACGGGUGAGUAACGCGUGGGGAAUCUACCUUUUUGUGGGGAAUAACGUUCCGAAAGGAAUGGUAAUACCGCAUGUGACCACUUGUUGGAAUAUGGGUGGUGAAAGCCGGGGACCGCAAGGCCUGGCGCAAGAAGAGGAUCCUGCGUCUGAUUAGCUAGUUGGUGAGGUAACGGCCCACCAAGGCAACGAUCAGUAGCCGGCCUGAGAGGGUGAUCGGCCACACUGGAACUGAGACACGGUCCAGACUCCUACGGGAGGCAGCAGUGGGGAAUUUUGCGCAAUGGGCGAAAGCCUGACGCAGCAACGCCGCGUGGGUGAUGAAGGUCUUCGGAUCGUAAAACCCUGUCGUCGAGGACGAAGGUCGGAGUGUUAAUAGCAUUUUGGCUUGACGGUACUCGGAGAGGAAGCCCCGGCUAACUCUGUGCCAGCAGCCGCGGUAAUACAGAGGGGGCAAGCGUUAUUCGGAAUUAUUGGGCGUAAAGGGCGCGUAGGCGGUUUGUUAAGUCAGAUGUGUAAUCCCCGAGCUCAACUUGGGAACUGCAUCUGAGACUGGCAGGCUAGAGUACUGGAGAGGGUGGUGGAAUUCCUCGUGUAGCGGUGAAAUGCGUAGAGAUGAGGAGGAACACCAGUGGCGAAGGCGGCCACCUGGACAGUAACUGACGCUGAGGCGCGAAAGUGUGGGUAGCAAACAGGAUUAGAUACCCUGGUAGUCC